Molecule: ribosomal RNA, 253 nt
Filed under: uncultured bacterium
Lineage: Bacteria
Description: partial 16S ribosomal RNA
Rfam family: Bacterial small subunit ribosomal RNA
Source: RNAcentral
UACGAAGGGUGCAAACGUUGCUCGGAAUUACUGGGCGUAAAGGGCUCGUAGGCGGCCAACUAAGUCCGACGUGAAAUCCCAAGGCUUAACCUUGGAACUGCGUCGGAUACUGGAUGGCUUGAAUUCGGGAGAGGGAUGCAGAAUUCCAGGUGUAGCGGUGAAAUGCGUAGAUAUCUGGAGGAAUACCGGUGGCGAAGGCGGCAUCCUGGACCGACAUUGACGCUGAGGAGCGAAAGCUAGGGGAGCAAACGGG